RNAcentral lists this ribosomal RNA (1366 nucleotides) under uncultured Alphaproteobacteria bacterium. RNAcentral describes it as "bacterial SSU rRNA". It matches the Rfam family "Bacterial small subunit ribosomal RNA", at positions 28 to 1379 of the family's 1533-position model. Lineage: Bacteria; Pseudomonadati; Pseudomonadota; Alphaproteobacteria. The record is from RNAcentral.
AACGAACGCUGGCGGCAGGUCUUAGGCAUGCAAGUCGAACGGGUGCAGCAAUGCAUCAGUGGCGCACGGGUGAGUAACGCGUGGGAAUAUGCCCUUUGCUGGGGAAUAACGUUUGGAAACGAACGCUAAUACCGCAUAAGCCUGACCACAUAAUUUUUUAUAAUGGAUUUCGCGAACGCGAAAUCAGAAAAAUUAUGUGGUCAGGGAAAGAUUUAUCGGCGAAGGAUUAGCCCGCGUUGGAUUAGCUUGUUGGUAGGGUAACGGCCUACCAAGGCAGUGAUCCAUAGCUGGUCUGAGAGGACGAUCAGCCACACUGGGACUGAGACACGGCCCAGACUCCUACGGGAGGCAGCAGCUAAGAAUAUUGGACAAUGGGGGAAACCCUGAUCCAGCCAUGCCGCGUGAGUGAAGAAGGCCUUCGGGUUGUAAAGCUCUUUUAGUCGUGACGAUGAUGACGGUAGCGACAGAAAAAGCACCGGCUAACUUCGUGCCAGCAGCCGCGGUAAUACGAAGGGUGCAAGCGUUGUUCGGAUUUACUGGGCGUAAAGCGUCUGUAGGUGGUUUGCUAAGUCAGGGGUGAAAUCCCGGGGCCCAACCCCGGAACUGCCCUUGAUACUGGCAGGCUGGAGCAUAAUAGAGGAAGAUGGAAUAUACGGUGUAGAGGUGACAUUCGUAGAUAUCGUAUAGAACACCAAUGGCGAAGGCAGUCUUCUGGAUUAUCGCUGACACUGAGAGACGAAAGCGUGGGUAGCAAACAGAAUUAGAUACUCUGGUAGUCCACGCCCUAAACGAUGCAUGCUUGUUGUUGAUCUCCUUCGGGGGACCAGUGACGAAGCCAACGCGUUAAGCAUGCCGCCUGGGGAGUACGGUCGCAAGAUUAAAACUUAAAGGAAUUGACGGGGACCCGCACAAGCGGUGGAGUAUGUUGUUUAAUUCGAUGCUACGCGAGAAACCUUACCGACCCUUGACAUCCCGGUCGCGAUUUCCAGAGAUGGAUUUCUUCAAUUCGGUUGGACCGGUGACAGAUGCUGCAUGGCUGUCGUCAGCUCGUGUCGUGAGAUGUUAGGUUAAGUCCUGCAACGAGCGCAACCCACACCCAAUGUUACCAGCGGAUAAUGCCGGGGACUCUUUGGGAACUGCCCGCGUCAAGCGGGAGGAAGGCGUGGACGACGUCAAGUCAUCAUGGUUCUUACGGGUCGGGCUACAAACGUACUACAAUGGCGGUAACAAUGGGUCGCGAUGCCGCAAGGCAAAGCCAAUCCUUAAAUAUCGCCCCAGUUCAGAUUGUCCUCUGCAACUCGAGGGCAUGAAGUCGGAAUCGCUAGUAAUCGCUGAUCAGAACGCAGCGGUGAAUUCGUUCCCGGGU